This 309-nucleotide ribosomal RNA is filed under the name uncultured archaeon. RNAcentral's name for it is "bacterial SSU rRNA". It matches the Rfam family "Archaeal small subunit ribosomal RNA", at positions 526 to 834 of the family's 1478-position model. The record is from RNAcentral.
CUGCCAUGCAAGUCCGUUGGGAAAUCGACCAGCUCAACUGGUCGGCGUCCAGCGGAAACUGCACGGCUUGGGGCCGAGAGACUCAACGGGUACGUCCGGGGUAGGAGUGAAAUCCUGUAAUCCUGGACGGACCACCAAUGGCGAAAGCACGUUGAGAGACCGGACCCGACGGUGAGGGACGAAAGCCAGGGUCUCGAACCGGAUUAGAUACCCGGGUAGUCCUGGCUGUAAACGAUGCUUGCUAGGUAUGCCACACACCAUGAGUGUGUGGUGUGCCGCAGUGAAGACGAUAAGCAAGCCGCCUGGGAA